Molecule: unclassified non-coding RNA, 224 nt
Filed under: uncultured Erythrobasidium
Lineage: Eukaryota; Fungi; Basidiomycota; Cystobasidiomycetes; Erythrobasidiales; Erythrobasidiaceae
Description: sequence contains ITS2
Source: RNAcentral
AACUCUCAACCCCCUUGUUUUGUAAUGAAGCAGGCGUGGGCUUGGAUUAUGGCUGUCUGCUGGACUCUUUAAGUAGAGAUCGGCUCGGCUGAAAUACACGAGUAACCCAGUUUGAAUAUUAACGGCUUGACUCGGCGUAAUAGCUUUAUUUCGCUGAGGACGUUUCAUAUCAAGAUAGUGGUGCUUCUAAUGCGUUGUAGCGUCAGCUGCACACACCUUUAAGC